RNAcentral lists this ribosomal RNA (388 nucleotides) under uncultured bacterium. Its description in RNAcentral is "bacterial SSU rRNA". It matches the Rfam family "Bacterial small subunit ribosomal RNA", at positions 28 to 409 of the family's 1533-position model. The record is from RNAcentral.
GACGAACGCUGGCGGCGUGCUUAACACAUGCAAGUGGUGCGACGAACCAGGCUUCGGCCUGGGGCAAAGCCGCGAACGGGUGAGUAACACGUGGGUAACCUGCCCCGAUGACCGGGACAACCCGAGGAAACUCGGGCUAAUACCGGAUGAGCUGCCCUCACACCAGUGAGGGUCGGAAAGGAAGCUUCGGCCUCCGCAUCGGGAUGGGCCCGCGGCCCAUUAGCUUGUUGGUGAGGCAACGGCNCACCAAGGCUGCGAUGGGUAGCUGGUCUGAGAGGACGAUCAGCCACACUGGGACUGAGACACGGCCCAGACUCCUACGGGAGGCAGCAGUGGGGAAUCUUGCGCAAUGCGCGAAAGCGUGACGCAGCAACGCCGCGUGGGGAAG